This is a long non-coding RNA of Homarus americanus (American lobster), 344 nucleotides long. RefSeq lists it as uncharacterized. NCBI's taxonomy places the organism in Eukaryota, Metazoa, Arthropoda, Malacostraca, Decapoda, Nephropidae. The record is from RefSeq and is a predicted model, not a curated record. The transcript has 3 exons.
UACACUGGCCACGAGGCGGACGUUGGCUGAGGCUGAGAAUAACCCCGUCUCCAACGCCUUCCUCACCACCCCAAAUACCCUUACAUCAUGAUGCCAGGGAUGUGGCUGGUGGUUAUGGGCGUAACGUUGGUUAUGGUUGCCAGCCACGCCCUCACCUUCCAGGAGAAAUAUGACAUCUGGAGUCAGGAUCUGAAACCUGACUUCACCAUUCAAACCACACUGAAUGAGGAUGGUAGACGCUGCUACUGUAAAGUUCCCGAUAUUAAUACGACAGUAACUACAAUAGUUCCUACAACAUCAACUACAACUUCAACUACAACAACACCAACUACGGCAACACUUAC